This 716-nucleotide long non-coding RNA is filed under the name Nicotiana benthamiana. RNAcentral describes it as "long non-coding RNA (NBEN_LNC027363)". Lineage: Eukaryota; Viridiplantae; Streptophyta; Magnoliopsida; Solanales; Solanaceae. The record is from RNAcentral.
CAGCCCACCCCUUAAGAACCGGGCCGGGCCGGGCCCGAUUUAUACCGGGCCGGUCCGGUCCGGUCCCGUGUCAACCCGGACCGGUUGACAGGUCUACUAUUAACUCCGGAUUUUAAAGUGUUAUAAACACUACCUUAAAUAUUUACUUAGCAUAAAAAGUGCAAAAAUUAAUUAACAGAUACAAAUAUCAUCUUUUGAUUAGACAUUACAUAAUUAAAUACAUCUAAUUAAUUAGCCUCUUUCGUCUUCUAAACCUCUUCUCACACGAACAAGGGGGAGAUUGCUUCAAUGACAAGACGCCAGAGCUCAAAAUUAACCCAGAUAUCAAAAGCAAAUAUGUUUAAUAACAGAAACAGAACUACAACUAGAGGCAGUAACGAGCAUGUGCAGUAAAAAUCUAUGAACAGUCAAAACGGUCAAUAAUAAUGGAGUUUCGUCGGAGCAAGAUCUUCGUCGCAGUUUCAUUCUCCGAUAAAAGAGGACAAUAUCAAACAUGUAUUAUAUACAACCUAUCAAAAGCUUAGUUCACCAGAAAAUAAAGAUCUCAUCGUGAUUAAAGCAGAGAUCGGAAGGAAUAUCUAGCACCUAACAAGUUUCGGCCAUCGAAAUGAAAAAUGAUUGAGAAAUUAAGAAAAGAAACAAAAAAUACUUUAAGAAGUUUACUAGUGGAGCUCAUAUGAGACUUUUGCGUUUUGGUCAGAUAUGGUAAUGAAUGC